UUUAAAGUCUAAUCUGCCCUAUGAGGUAUUAAAUGGCCGCGGUACUCUGACCGUGCAAAGGUAGCAUAAUAAUUAGUUUCUUAAUUAGAAGCUGGAAUGAAUGAUUGGACGAGAAAAUAACUGUCUCAAUUUAAUUUUAUUAGAAUUUUAUUUUUAAGUAAGAAAGCUUAAAUUUAAUUUAAAGACGAGAAGACCCUAUAGAGUUUUAUAAUUAAUUAUCUGUUAAUUUUUAAGUAUUUUUUUAUUAGUAUUUAAUUAAUUAUUUUGUUGGGGCGAUAGAAAAAUAUAAUUAACUUUUUUUAUAUUUUAUCAUUAAUUUAUGUUUUUAUGAUCCAUUUUUUAUGAUUAUAAGAUUAAGUUACCUUAGGGAUAACAGCGUAAUUUUUUUUUAGAGUUCUUAUCCAAAAUAAAAAUUGCGACCUCGACGUGGGAUUAAACUAAACGUUUGGUGUCCAAACUAGACAAUUAGGUCUGUUCGACCUUUAAAAAAAAACA
Molecule: ribosomal RNA, 495 nt
Filed under: Maladera hmong
Lineage: Eukaryota; Metazoa; Arthropoda; Insecta; Coleoptera; Scarabaeidae
Description: partial 16S large subunit ribosomal RNA
Rfam family: Bacterial large subunit ribosomal RNA
Source: RNAcentral